CUAACAAGGAUUCCCCUAGUAACUGCGAGUGAAGCGGGAAAAGCUCAAAUUUAAAAUCUGGCAGUCUUUGGUUGCCCGAGUUGUAAUCUAGAGAAGUGUUAUCCGUGCUGGACCGUGUACAAGUCUCCUGGAAUGGAGCGUCAUAGAGGGUGAGAAUCCCGUCUUUGACACGGACUGCCAGGACUUUGUGAUGCGCUCUCAAAGAGUCGAGUUGUUUGGGAAUGCAGCUCUAAAUGGGUGGUAAAUUCCAUCUAAAGCUAAAUAUUGGCGAGAGACCGAUAGCGAACAAGUACCGUGAGGGAAAGAUGAAAAGAACUUUGGAAAGAGAGUUAAACAGUACGUGAAAUUGUUGAAAGGGAAACGCUUGAAGUCAGUCACGUUGGCCAGGGAUCAACCUUGCUUUUCUGCUUGGUGUACUUUCUGGUUGAUGGGUCAGCAUCAAUUUUGACCAGUGGAAAAAGGUCAGGGGAAUGUGGCAUCUUCGGAUGUGUUAUAGCCCUUGGUUGCAUACAUUGGUUGGGAUUGAGGAACUCAGCAUGCCGUAAGGUCGGGUAAUUUUACCACGUUCGUGCUUAGGAUGCUGGCAUAAUGGCUUU
RNAcentral lists this ribosomal RNA (596 nucleotides) under Entoloma subsaundersii. Its description in RNAcentral is "LSU rRNA". It matches the Rfam family "Eukaryotic large subunit ribosomal RNA", at positions 65 to 641 of the family's 3401-position model. The record is from RNAcentral. Lineage: Eukaryota; Fungi; Basidiomycota; Agaricomycetes; Agaricales; Entolomataceae.